RNAcentral lists this ribosomal RNA (451 nucleotides) under uncultured bacterium. RNAcentral describes it as "partial 16S ribosomal RNA". It matches the Rfam family "Bacterial small subunit ribosomal RNA", at positions 354 to 796 of the family's 1533-position model. The record is from RNAcentral.
GUGGGGAAUAUUGGACAAUGGGGGGAACCCUGAUCCAGCCAUGCCGCGUGUGUGAAGAAGGCCUUUUGGUUGUAAAGCACUUUAAGUGGGGAGGAGGCUUACCUGGUUAAUACCUGGGCUAAGUGGACGUUACCCACAGAAUAAGCACCGGCUAACUCUGUGCCAGCAGCCGCGGUAAUACAGAGGGUGCGAGCGUUAAUCGGAUUUACUGGGCGUAAAGCGCGCGUAGGUGGUUAAUUAAGUCAAAUGUGAAAUCCCCGAGCUUAACUUGGGAAUUGCAUUCGAUACUGGUUGGCUAGAGUAUGGGAGAGGAUGGUAGAAUUCCAGGUGUAGCGGUGAAAUGCGUAGAGAUCUGGAGGAAUACCGAUGGCGAAGGCAGCCAUCUGGCCUAAUACUGACACUGAGGUGCGAAAGCAUGGGGAGCAAACAGGAUUAGAAACCCCGGUAGUCC